This 67-nucleotide transfer RNA is filed under the name Marmota monax (woodchuck). RNAcentral's name for it is "tRNA.Ala". The record is from RNAcentral. Lineage: Eukaryota; Metazoa; Chordata; Mammalia; Rodentia; Sciuridae.
GGUUAUGGCUCAGUGAUAGAGUGCUUGCCUAGCAUGUGUGAGGCCCUGGGUUUGAUCCUCAGCACCA